GACAGAGGUGGCAAGCGUUGUUCGGAUUUAUUGGGCGUAAAGAGCGCGUAGGCGGUCUUUUAAGUCGGGGGUGAAAUCCCGGGGCUUAACCCCGGAAUUGCCCUCGAUACUGGAAGACUUGAGUGCGGGAGAGGAUAGUGGAAUUCCCAGUGUAGAGGUGAAAUUCGUAGAUAUUGGGAAGAACACCAGUGGCGAAGGCAGCUAUCUGGACCGCAACUGACGCUGAGGCGCGAAAGCGUGGGGAGCAAACAGG
Molecule: ribosomal RNA, 253 nt
Filed under: uncultured bacterium
Lineage: Bacteria
Description: partial 16S ribosomal RNA
Rfam family: Bacterial small subunit ribosomal RNA
Source: RNAcentral